This 314-nucleotide ribosomal RNA is filed under the name Pseudomonas sp. DV14. RNAcentral describes it as "bacterial SSU rRNA". It matches the Rfam family "Bacterial small subunit ribosomal RNA", at positions 46 to 353 of the family's 1533-position model. Lineage: Bacteria; Pseudomonadati; Pseudomonadota; Gammaproteobacteria; Pseudomonadales; Pseudomonadaceae. The record is from RNAcentral.
AGGCCUAACACAUGCAAGUCGAGCGGUAGAGAGAAGCUUGCUGCUUGCUUCUCUUGAGAGCGGCGGACGGGUGAGUAAUACCUAGGAAUCUGCCUGGUAGUGGGGGAUAACGUUCGGAAACGGACGCUAAUACCGCAUACGUCCUACGGGAGAAAGCAGGGGACCUUCGGGCCUUGCGCUAUCAGAUGAGCCUAGGUCGGAUUAGCUAGUUGGUGAGGUAAUGGCUCACCAAGGCUACGAUCCGUAACUGGUCUGAGAGGAUGAUCAGUCACACUGGAACUGAGACACGGUCCAGACUCCUACGGGAGGCAGCA